AAAGAAAAAGGAAGAGAAAGAUUUCGCCUGUUACUUAACGAGUAAUACUUUAAAGUUAUAAUUUAUUUAGUUGUAACAAAAGUAUGGUAAUUACACUAUACGUUUAAUGCGUAACAAUACGUACAUACGUACACAUAUGUAGGUAUGUACAGUUGCAUAGGAUGUGUAUAUAUAUAUAUACAGUAUCGUCGAUAAGAAGUUGCUAAACUUGAUUUCCUUUGUACCCUGAUUAUUUAUUUAAACGUUAUCACAUUCUCUCAUUGCUUCAUACACGAUAUUCCACGUGAUCGUCAUACUCUAUUUUAAAAAUCUACUUUGCUGACAAUCGCGUGGAAAAUCGUUAUCGUUCGAUCUGUCUAAUCGCUUCGAAGGCCUCGCGAACAAUGCGCGUACUUCAAUCUUUUUUUCUUUUUUUCCUCCGUGAACAGUACAAUUUCCUCUAAACAUGACGUUACUUAAAUUAAAAAACGAAGAUAAUAACACGUUCUGCGAGCGCUUCUCUUCUCGAUCCAAGUGGAAAUUCCAUACACCGGGUAAUUCGAACGUCACUUGGCCGCGGUUCUUUUUUUCCUGCCAUAUUCUUUUCUUUCUUAAUCGAGUUUUUAAAUUACUUUUUACACGCGCGUACAAUCGGGUCAUCUUAAGCAUAUCUUAGGAAAAGUCUUAUUGCUCUUUGAAAUAGAGGAACGUUUCAGGAAUGAUUCUACAACGUCUAGAUCCGUUUUCACGAUCGGAACGAAGAACAAACGUAUCGAAAGUCAUCGUUGCGUACAGAUUCGAGCAAUGGAAAAUUAGUUUCUAUCAAUGACGACGAUUUCGCAUUCUCGAGAAGUUUACCAUGGACGAUACGUUUCGUCCCAUACUCGGACAAUUCCGACCUCGAUGAAAUCCGAUCGAGGCGCUCGACUUUUCGCCGCGACGACCGACUUCGAUCGUUGAUCGUCGUACACGCGGUCGGUUAUUCAUUCUCCCUUCGUUAUUUCCAGUAUCUUUCUUUUUCUUUGUUUCGCUAACGCCCACGCAUCAACCAAUAACCGCGUUUCGUCCGCGCCAAUACGUUACGCAUCACGUUAGAAAGAAAAUAAUUUUUCUUCUCUUUCGAUUUUCCGAUCUUUUCGCGCGUAUCGUUCGAUAGGUACAUCGUGCUAGGCUCGAUCAAUCGUUUUCUACCUGAAAGAUAUGUCCAGCUCGAUUAACCGCUACUCGUCGAUAUGUCUCGUUUCUCCAACCGUAUACCUUGAGUGUCGCGACCUUGUUAGAACGGUAUAUAUUUGGCAAAUCUUUAAGGCUAUCGCGUAAAUGCAAAUACGAUUGUCGUUCCUAAUCGUUAAGAAGAAAAAAAAAAAAAAGAGUGUUGCGCACACGCGUAUCGCCGAUGCGUGAAGGAUAUCUCGUCGAGGAAAAUUCUUGCGAUCUUCUUCAUACUAUAAUCCGAAACGAACUAUUCAACGGAACCGGUGUUAAUUGGUAGUGAGAUAUAAGCAAGUACGUCCGUUGCUAGAUCGUACGAACAACAGAAAACGAACUCUAUCGAUACUCGAGUAAAAAGGUUACGUUACGACUUACGAUAGAAAAAAUUAUGCUUGAGAAACCAACGUUUCAACGAAUCCUCGCGAAAUGCCGUUUAUAACCAGGGAGGGAAAUUCGUCGAAGAAAGAAACGAAAUACUAAAGGGAGAACGAUCUCUGAACGCCACCGCACGAAAAAGGGAAAGAAAUAGAAAAUGUGUACGCUAGCGUUAAAACGUGUCAUCGACUUCGCUCGGUUUUGCUGCUACGGAAACACGUUGUCGUCCGGUUUCUUGGUCACAGAAAUUAUGCAUUGGCCUUCCUACGAACGAGACGAGAGGUGUCCAAAGUAUAGCGCGAUAAUUUCAAGAAAUAAUUUUCCGUAGAAUAAUCUUCUCUCGAGUUUCGUCGUUGCAUUUGGAAGUCUAUUCUUAAUUACAAGGAUAAAGAUGACGAGAAACAAGGAGGAACGCGAGUCUCCGCGAACGUUCAAACGAUCGCGUGCAAAAUAGGAAUGUGCUCUCUCUCUCCCUAUCCGAUCGUCCAUUACAACAAGAUUCCUUUCUCUAAUUAAUCUUCCUACGUCGUCCCUAAACGCAAUUAACGCGUCUCGGUGGUGGAAACCCCACGACUCGGUUGUCAACGCCCAAAUACCGACUGCGUCAUUUUCUUUUCUUUCAGUUUUAUUCCGCCCGAAGCGCACGAGCACAUCGCUCGUCUCAGAUAAAGAUCGAUCGUAUUCGCGGAAUUCCCGCGUGCAAAUCGCUCACUCCUUUUCUCGUCUCUCCGCCAUCUUUUUCGCGAUUCUACGGAACCCACGCGAUCGAAGACGGAAUACAUAUCGGUGCGAUUGUUCGAUGGUCUAGCGGAUCUCGUCCUCGCGUCUAUACGUAUCUAACGCGGCGUUCAGUUAUUAAAUAUUAUGGUACUUGGGAGGAUCGGAUAAAAUCUUACGUACAAAGGAAACGACACGUACGUUAAACGGUUAAGGUUUGUCAAAAAAUAAAUACAUUCGUUAACUACUAUCGCGCGUACGAGGCGGGAAACGUGCAGUCGGCGAGUACCGUUCGUUAGGUGAGAGCUGCUCGUACCUCGGAACAUGGAAAAAGUAGGCGUUAUUCGUUCUAUCGCUCGACGUCUCUACCUCGUUUACGUAUCGUUUGAACAGAUCAUAGAACGAAAUAGAACGCUCGUUCGAAUCUCUGUCGCGUUUCCCUUGUCGUCCUUUACGAUCGAUAACAAUUAUAUCGCAUCGAACGCGCGCCGACGUCUUAUCACAUACGCGUAUACCUAAGACCUAAAAAUCACGAGCGUUGUCGUUCCGGCCCGUACCUACGAUUCUAACGAUAAAAAAAAAAAAAAAAAAGAAAA
Molecule: long non-coding RNA, 2879 nt
Organism: Bombus pascuorum
Lineage: Eukaryota; Metazoa; Arthropoda; Insecta; Hymenoptera; Apidae
Exons: 2
Source: RefSeq, a predicted model, not a curated record